RNAcentral lists this ribosomal RNA (428 nucleotides) under uncultured Bacillota bacterium. RNAcentral's name for it is "bacterial SSU rRNA". It matches the Rfam family "Bacterial small subunit ribosomal RNA", at positions 958 to 1385 of the family's 1533-position model. Lineage: Bacteria; Bacillati; Bacillota. The record is from RNAcentral.
AACGCGAAGAACCUUACCAGGUCUUGACAUCCUCUGACAAUCCUAGAGAUAGGACUUUCCCCUUCGGGGGACAGAGUGACAGGUGGUGCAUGGUUGUCGUCAGCUCGUGUCGUGAGAUGUUGGGUUAAGUCCCGCAACGAGCGCAACCCUUGUCCUUAGUUGCCAGCAUUCAGUUGGGCACUCUAAGGAGACUGCCGGUGACAAACCGGAGGAAGGUGGGGAUGACGUCAAAUCAUCAUGCCCCUUAUGACCUGGGCUACACACGUGCUACAAUGGAUGGUACAAAGGGCUGCGAGACCGCGAGGUUUAGCCAAUCCCAUAAAACCAUUCUCAGUUCGGAUUGUAGGCUGCAACUCGCCUACAUGAAGCCGGAAUCGCUAGUAAUCGUGGAUCAGCAUGCCACGGUGAAUACGUUCCCGGGCCUUGUA